AUGCAGUUUGGGUCGUGGAUACACCUCCAUGCGAACCGGGGCAGUUCCCGGAUUGCCUGCUCUAAAAUUUCGGCCUUAUCUGUCCCUGCAGGCAAUUUCUUUAGCUCUACCAUAAGCUGCCAUUCCCGCGUCGAAGAUACAUCAUAGCACCAGCCUGCCCGCUUCAUAAUGUUUUCCAGGGCGCAUUUGUCGUACGACAUCCUUUCCAAUUGCCAUAUCUUGAUAACCCGGAGGAACAAGUCCUCGUUACCAUCUAGGAUUGAUUCGGUGAUAGACUGCAGGAAUUUUCCUUCCUGCCCUGCGGGCAUCGUGUACGGAGCGGGCGCCGUACGUGGACAUUGUUCACGAAUAUCCUGUAGAGCCCAGUUCCACUCCCAAUAUUCUCCCCUGAGUACUUCCUUGGAUUUUCCAUCACGCCCGAGGUACGCUUGCGGGUGUCUACCCUGGCUGAAAUACAUACCCACU
This 465-nucleotide small RNA is filed under the name Histoplasma ohiense. RNAcentral's name for it is "hypothetical lncRNA". Lineage: Eukaryota; Fungi; Ascomycota; Eurotiomycetes; Onygenales; Ajellomycetaceae. The record is from RNAcentral.